AAAGUGCUGGCUCAUAAAUGCUGGUUCCCUUUCUUAAUGAGGUAUUAGUCCACAUAGCCUGGAUCAGCUCAACUUAGCAACAGAUCAUUUGUGACCCCAGAAACGAAGCUAUUCUCAUCAAGGAACGUUUGUGGACUAUUCUUUAGAUGGAAGGAGGACAUCAAAGUCUACAGUCCAUUCUAUCCAGGUUGUAUCAGAUUGCACUGAACAAAAGACGGAGCAUUCCCAAGCUAUAGCAGUCAUUCUUGAAUUGAUGUGGGUCUUAUAAAUGUCUCAAAAUACAGCAAGUAUACGAGAUAGAGAGCAGAGAAGUCUGGAAGUGAUUGAGAAAUGAAGAAGCAGUGUCCAUUGUUUUAACAUAUACCCACCGAUGUGGUGCUCUAAGAUUUAUGACCAAAUCAUGACUGAAUGAUGCUGAAAGAUUGAAGAAUCUGUAACAGGGGAACUAGAUACUGCAUGCAUGUGUUUCAGGAAGGAACACCAUGAUGAAUAUUGUGGGUAUUACAUUUCCAAACAUUCCUUUUGGCGUUUCUUUUGAUCUUCUUGCUGGACUGAUAACUAUUAUGGAAACAUCGACUCUGAAACUGCAUCUCCCCACUCCUUCCCAUUAAAUGUCAAAGCACUGACAGCAGAAGAUAUCAAUGUGAGUUAUAUGUAUGUCUACAUAUAUAUGUAUAUAAAUAUAAACUCCCUGAUCAUCUGUUUCUUUUUCAAUGCCAGAAAGUCAGUUUGUGGGAGAUUUAAAUUGCAGUUUUCUACUUAAGAAAACAGAUUACAUGAAGUUGUACUAGAAGAUAUGCAUAUCCUUUGAAAAAUAAUACUCUGGACAUUUUAUAAAAAGAGAAAGCUGUGGGAGAAAGUGAGUGUAGUAUUGGUAUCUACAGUUGCUUCUCUUUAAAAUAUGCAGGGUAUGUAAAAAUAAGAAAAGAAACAGAGGGAAAAGAUCAGAAGGACUUGUGUGGAUUUUGUUAUGUGAGCCUGCAGCCAGAUUAGCUACAGAUCAUUGUCCAAGAGAAAUAUUGAAAGAAAUUUUACAUAUGAAAUGUAGGAAAGAUGCUCUUUAAAAAAAGAGAUGAUAUUAUAAGGCAUAAUGAAUCUUUUCAAGUGAAAUGGAAGGAACACUAAAUUGAGACUGACCACUAAAAGGCUUGAUAAGGGUGGGAGUGGUUAAAUGGAGUUUGAUCAUGUUUAAAGGCAGUGGACGAGAAAUAGAGACUGAAAUUUGGAAGAGACAAGGAUAAAUACACGGAGGACACAGGAGGAGAGGGGAUCAAUGAUAGAG
Molecule: long non-coding RNA, 1282 nt
Filed under: Monodelphis domestica (gray short-tailed opossum)
Lineage: Eukaryota; Metazoa; Chordata; Mammalia; Didelphimorphia; Didelphidae
Description: lncRNA (ENSMODG00000030256.2)
Source: RNAcentral